Molecule: ribosomal RNA, 254 nt
Filed under: uncultured bacterium
Lineage: Bacteria
Description: partial 16S ribosomal RNA
Rfam family: Bacterial small subunit ribosomal RNA
Source: RNAcentral
UACGAAGGGGGCUAGCGUUGUUCGGAAUUACUGGGCGUAAAGCGUAUGCAGGCGGAUCGUUAAGUCGGGGGUGAAAUCCCGAGGCUCAACCUCGGAACUGCCUUCGAUACUGGCGAUCUUCGAGUCCGGGAGAGGUGAGUGGAACUCCGAGUGUAGAGGUGAAAUUCGUAGAUAUUCGGAAGAACACCAGUGGCGAAGGCGGCUCACUGGUCCGGUACUGACGCUGAGGUGCGAAAGCGUGGGGAGCAAACAGG